UACGGGGGGGGCAAGCGUUGUUCGGAAUUACUGGGCUUAAAGGGCCAGUAGGCGGCCAACUAAGUCGGAUGUGAAAUCCCCAGGCUUAACCUGGGAACUGCAUCCGAUACUGGAUGGCUUGAAUUCGGGAGAGGGAUGCAGAAUUCCAGGUGUAGCGGUGAAAUGCGUAGAUAUCUGGAGGAAUACCGGUGGCGAAGGCGGCAUCCUGGACCGACAUUGACGCUGAACGGCGAAAGCUAGGGGAGCAAACGGG
Molecule: ribosomal RNA, 253 nt
Filed under: uncultured bacterium
Lineage: Bacteria
Description: partial 16S ribosomal RNA
Rfam family: Bacterial small subunit ribosomal RNA
Source: RNAcentral